AGUCGCGUAGCUCAGUUGGUUAGAGCACCACCUUGACAUGGUGGGGGUCGCUAGUUCGAGUCUAGUCGCGACUACCA
This 77-nucleotide transfer RNA is filed under the name Oceanospirillaceae bacterium. RNAcentral describes it as "tRNA-Val". It matches the Rfam family "tRNA". Rfam says of the family: Transfer RNA (tRNA) molecules are approximately 80 nucleotides in length. Their secondary structure includes four short double-helical elements and three loops (D, anti-codon, and T loops). Further hydrogen bonds mediate the characteristic L-shaped molecular structure. tRNAs have two regions of fundamental functional importance: the anti-codon, which is responsible for specific mRNA codon recognition, and the 3' end, to which the tRNAs corresponding amino acid is attached (by aminoacyl-tRNA synthetases). tRNAs cope with the degeneracy of the genetic code in two manners: having more than one tRNA (with a specific anti-codon) for a particular amino acid; and 'wobble' base-pairing, i.e. permitting non-standard base-pairing at the 3rd anti-codon position. Lineage: Bacteria; Pseudomonadati; Pseudomonadota; Gammaproteobacteria; Oceanospirillales; Oceanospirillaceae. The record is from RNAcentral.